This is a long non-coding RNA of Zonotrichia leucophrys gambelii, 5481 nucleotides long. RefSeq lists it as uncharacterized. Lineage: Eukaryota; Metazoa; Chordata; Aves; Passeriformes; Passerellidae. The record is from RefSeq and is a predicted model, not a curated record. The transcript has 4 exons.
UUUUGAAGAAGGAAGGGUCAGUGCUCUGAGGAGCUGCCCACAAGAAACACCAAGAAGAUCUGAAGCUUUUGUGAUAAGGAGACAACAGUAUGGAGCCCCUGUGAUGAGAUGGCAACACAUCAGAAGGACAUCAGACAACAGAGCACUCUGCCUAGUGAGAUAAUUACGAUUCCAACAGGAGAUGUUUUCAAGGCAAGAUGAGAUAGGCUCUCCUGAAGUCCAGUGUUGGCAGUGUGGUGGCACUGGGGGAAGGUGAGGGUCUGAGGGCUCCAGCCUGGUGUCUGGCAAUCUGUUUCCCUUCCCAGCCCUUCUCCAUUGCCUUCAGCCUCUCCUGUUCCCGGGGGCACAUGGGUAGGAGGCUGGCAGGGUGCCCAGUGCAUGUCACAGGAAGGAACUGGGGCCAAGACAACCACCUAAUAAACCCAAAAUCAACCCUGGUGUGGAUAUGGGACAGAUGGAUGCACCAAAUAAGGACAGACAGGGUCUGAUUUCUGAGGGUUUGAGCUUAUCUGAGCCUGUUUGCUCACUUAUCAAGUGGGAGUGGAUCUGGUGCCUGUGCUGAUGCCAGACCUGGCUGGCUUUUUUUCAGCUUUUAUUACAGAAAAAAGGGAACUUCUGCUCUGUUUAAAGAGCAGGGGUGGGAAGAAAACCCCAGUGACAGCAUACGCCUUAUGAGAGCACUAGCACAUUCAUUGUGAAAGUGAUGGGCAGUUAAUGAUGUCAGCGUAGGAAAAAACCCAAAUCAUGUUUGUUUUCUUCUUUCUCUCAAAAGCUCUGGCCUGAGAAGGGGCUGCAGAAACAAUCACUGCCUGGGAAAUCAGGGCAGUAUUAAAAAAAAAAAAAAAAAAGAGAUGGGGGAGAAAGUAGGAUAUAUAAGUAGUGCCAGCUGGAUGUGAAAUCAGUCUCGCAUUUCAAAAUAAUGAAAAUAUUUCUUUGCCAUUUAUUUGGUCUGGCAUGUAACAUCAGUGCUGUUGCCACAUCGUUAUUCAGAGUUAGCAUGCUGGAAAGGAGACACCAGCAGAGACCCAAUUGCUGCUCAGCCCCCCCAGAACAGGACACUAUUGUGGGACAGUGCUGCAGAUAAAACACCACAGGGAAGGAUGCUCCAAGCAGGAACACUCCCCAGAUCCAGGGUGGCAGGUGGAAAUGGGUCCUCAGACAAGCAAAAAAGAAAAGCCUUUGCAAUUUACAGGAGUGGCCCCUGAGAAAAGGGAGGGGUAGCUGCUGCUGAGAUAGAAGGAUGGCAAUGGCACAAGCUUUUCUAUGCAAAACCUUGCAUUAUUUGAGUCGGGCCUAGCUCAUUCAGUAGGCAUUUUAGGUCUGAACUUCCUGUAUAGAGAAGAUGAGAAGAAUCUCCCCAGGAAGUACAGCACAGCCUUGUGUCAGGCUCUGUUGGCUGUUCUGACUGUCCCAAUUUGCAAGAAGAGGAUUUGACUUCAGUCUUCUCUAGCUGGCCCUUGUUCCGAGCCUCCAACUCUCUUGGAGUUAUGCUGCCACUGUAAAUGCUGUCAAAAUGACAAGGAAAAACAACUUUCACUUCCCUGUGCUAUGGAUACACACACCUGCUCCCCUUUUCUUCAGGCAAGUCUGGGAGCUGUGGGAAUGAAAAGCCAUCCCAGUGAAGGAUGCACUUUGUUGAGCAAGCAAACCUGGAAGUGUCGAGCAGGGAAAUACGUUCCACACUUUGCUUUAAUGGCUGCUCUGUGGCUGAGACGAGCCAGAGAUGCUGGAGAACCAGAAAAGCCAGAAAUCUGGGAGAGCACAGGGUGCAGGCUGUCCCUGUGCUAGGACAGGUGCCACAGAGCUGUGCAGAAGGAGGUGGCACCUCCCCAUCUGGGGAGAGGCCGUGUGCUCAGCCACUCAGACCCUCCUCCACCCCGGGCUGGGGCUGACAUUGUCACUGCUUUUGUAAAACAAGACAUGCCAAAAGCUCUGUGUCACACGUUCCCAACUGAAUGGACUUUGCAAGGGAAGACUUCAGACCUACCUGGACAAGCAACAGAGAGACACUGGUGAAGAAGAAGGACCAAAAACAAAUUGGGAAAAGCAAAGGCAUCUCCAUGGGUUGAUUUUAAAAAGAAAUUGCUGUAAAUCAAGCUGAGUUAGACCCUGCAAACACAGCAAGAAGCUAAGUUCUUUCUGUGGUAUAAACAGAAAGCAGACAAGAGGGGAACUUCAAGCUGGAGGGAACCUGUCAAUGGCAUUCCUUACACACUGGUCCUGGAUUUGCUUUUCUGCAAUACCUACAGGACUGCCUUUGGCACAAACAAGUGGGAGGUCCCUGGUGAGCCCUUCUUUAUUGCAGUGUCAUGACAGAGCAGGAAGAAGAAGUUCUUCGGUGAAGAACUGUCUGAGUUUGCAGAGCAGCAGAAAAUGCAAAAUUGGGAAAUGGGAAUUUCGGUGGGAGUCAGAAUGCUGCGGUGCCCUCACUCACAGCCUUUGAAGGGCAGAACUGCCUCUGGGUUCCAGCAGACUAUUCUUCAGUCAUCUUCCAUUCAUCUUUUGGAACGAGAGCUAACUCACUCCCGGCCUGCUCCAUAAUGGAGAAACUAGCCUCUCUACGAGGUAAAGACAUUUCCUUUCUUCGCUUGAAACAUCAUGAACUUUCAGACUUGGCAAGGCUCUUUUGCGUUCGAUCUAAUAAUAAACCCAAACCAUCCAUUGCACGAAAGUAAUGAGUCUGAACUUGCCUGAACUUGCCUCAGGGAGCUGAGAUCCAAAGCUCUGUCAUUCCCUCAAAAGCCUUUCUCCUUUUUGCAAGGACAGGAUGUUGUUGUGACAAGGCAUCCUUGCUGUUUGCUCGGCCUCUCUCCCUCGUGAUGAAAUCCUUCUAUAGCGACUCUGGAGGUCCUACUUCAGCUCUGAUUUUUGGGCAUACAAAGUGCUGCACAACUAAUCUCCGCUCUUUUCUAUGAGUGAUUUAUGGAGGCUUGAAGGACAUUGAGACUCAGCACAUUCUCUGCUUUCCAAAUGUUGGUGCAAUGAGAGGGGCACUUUCCCUGCCAGUGGGAACCUGAAAGACCUGAUGGACUUUUCUGGCAGGACUCAGUGUCAGUGAAAGGGGCGCCAAGGCGCCUGCAGAGCAAGCGGAAGUACAAGUGUGUGUUAGCUUUAACUUCCACUGGGAAUGACAGAAAAAAUAUUUUGACUUGAUUUUACAGUUUGGUUUCUUGUUAGCGCAAAUGAAUGCUCAGCCAGUGAUCAGAAAUGCCCUUGCUUAAUUAGCAACGGUUCCUGUACAGUUAUUAGGCACCAUUGACAUGAGAAGAACAAACAAACAACAUCCACAUUGAAGAGGUCCCUGCAGCAUUGCUAAUCCCCCUUGGUAUUACCAAGGAAAUAUCAGACCAUAACUAUUCCAUGGAGAUCCAAGUGAAAUCGUCAUGCAAGAAGAACGUGAGAACUGCUGAGCAGACUGUACUUCCUGUUAUCUGAGAACAACUGUGCAUCCACAAGGAGCUGAAAAUUGUGAUGCUUCUAUGAUCCUGUCACGUCCUUCAGCAGAUGCAUUUUGCACAGACCCUUGUACGAAGAUAGAGAUUAAAGAACAAGCGAAACAUUUUCUCCCCUGCAUGUAGAAAGAACUAUAUGCUGCCUAAAAUGAAGGGAGACUGAAAAAACCGUGCUUGAACUAGGAGGUCAUCUUAAAACAGAUGAAAGAAAGUUUGUUUCAUUCUAACACAAUGAGCUAUGGACUUCUGGGAUUUAUUAACUCAGAGGAUGGUGGGUACUGGUACUACCAGCUGGUUCAAGAAGCUGUUGGGUAAAUUCAUGGACAACAGGUCCAUAAAGGGAAGAAGCAGGGUCAUACUCACUCAACUCCCUGUGCAGCAUGUCCUGCCACCAUCAGCAGAGGCAGGAUGUGGGGCAAGGUGGGCCAUCGACCUCGCCCCAGCAGCACGAGUUUGACACCCAUGUCCCUCUCCUCCCCAUCCGUCUGCCCUGCCUGUGACUCCGGAGCCAAAACCACUGUCACGAGGGUAAAAGGCUCUUUGCUGGGCUUGCAAUAUUCUACAAAACUGGAGCUAGCUUGUGGGGAAAUAAGUGAUUUGGGUCCCUGGCAUAAGGGAAACUUGAUUUUUAUCCAGGUUAGGUCUCUACCAUCCUUACCUAACAAUAGUUCAAGAGGAGGGUUGGUGAUAGCAAACAGCCUAGGAACACCUAGUUAUUCCCCAAAACCUGCUGAGGUUUGCAUCUGGAUUCCUUCUUUCCUGUGUUCCAGGAGAGCAGAGGAGGGACAGACUAUUGGAGACACAUAUUGCCUAUUUUGCUUUCACUACAUUUGGUGAGGGUUGCAAAUGUGAUGUAUUUUCCUCAGCAUCAAAUAAUUCUCAGUAGUGUCAAAAAUAGCAAUGUUUCAGCUCUCUGAGGGAUUUUGGACAAGAGUGAAAGACCCUUGAAAUUGAUAUCAAUAAUUCUGCUGCUCAAGCUGGAGGCAAAAGCCCAACAGCUGUGGGGGGUGUGUGUGGUUUUUUAUACCCCGUCUAGCCUCAAGGAGGCAAGACCAUCAUAAUUAGCUGCUAAUUGAGAAGUGCACAUCUGAAAAGCACAAUUUCAGAGAACAAAGAGCCGGAGAGACCCAUUUCCAGGGCUAAUUAGAAUUAAUUCAUUGCUAUAAGUAGAAGGUCUCCCACAGUCCUGGGACUCUCUCUUGCCCUCUCCUGAAGCACCAGUCUAAACAUACGCAUACCAAUCAUGGAAGGCUCAGCAUGACUUGUGCAGCUCUUGUGCAACACAGAAAUAGCACUGCUUGUUAAAAAAUAGUCUAUUUUUCUUUUUUUUUCCCUUUUUUUUUUAUAGCCCUGGGCUAUGUCUCCCCUCUGCUUUGCUACCUGCCCUUCCUUCCUUUUCUGAAUCUACUACCAACAAACAAAGUGACAGUGUCAGCACUUUUUCCACUACUGCAAGAAUGGGGCUUUUAGGGGAAAAAGGUCCACAAAACCAGGCCUCUCUCUGUGGCACCCUCCUGCAGAUGCCUCCAGCAGGACUAUCUUCAUGCACCUCCCUGAGCUGCUGGAGUCCAUUUGUUUUUUCCCCCCCAAGCCCACAGCAGCUGGUUUUGCACUUGAUCUGGGGCUCCAGCAAUAACCCUUCAGGUGUGAGGGCAUGGGCUGCUUCAAGUGGUCUCUUAAAAUACUUCAAGAGCUGAUUUUUCUCUCUAAGUCCUGAAAUGUCUUUAAAAAAAACACCUGCACAGUAAAUAUCUCAGUUGCCCAUCAACCUACAGUAUUUCUAUCUCACUUGAGAUCAUGAUAUCUCUCUUACAUGUAUUUAGUGCCAGCAUCUCAUUGCUGAGUGACUCAGUAGUCACUGCAAGGACACUACAGUGAGAAAAUGAACAAGACCAUUCCCUUGUGAUAGCCAGUUUUGUCAUCCAAUAGAAGGUCCUUUUAAAAUAACUUUGAUUUUUUUUUUUGAAGAUGUUGAACACCUAUCUUUGGAAGACAGAAAUUACUUCAAAUUGCUUCAAGUUAUGGACCC